UCCGGUGACUUUACCCUGCAGGAAACACACGUUCCCAUUCCGAACACGACCGUUAAGCUGCUGGGGCCCACGAUAGUGCCGAAAGGUGCGAAAAUAGGUCAUCGCCGGGA
Molecule: ribosomal RNA, 110 nt
Filed under: Planctomycetota bacterium
Lineage: Bacteria; Pseudomonadati; Planctomycetota
Source: RNAcentral